This 253-nucleotide ribosomal RNA is filed under the name uncultured bacterium. Its description in RNAcentral is "partial 16S ribosomal RNA". It matches the Rfam family "Bacterial small subunit ribosomal RNA", at positions 524 to 776 of the family's 1533-position model. The record is from RNAcentral.
UACGUAGGGUGCGAGCGUUGUCCGGAAUUACUGGGCGUAAAGGGCUUGUAGGUGGUUUGUCGCGUUGUUCGUGAAAUCCCGUGGCUUAACUGCGGGCGUGCGGGCGAUACGGGCAGACUGGAGUACUGCAGGGGAGACUGGAAUUCCUGGUGUAGCGGUGAAAUGCGCAGAUAUCAGGAGGAACACCGAUGGCGAAGGCAGGUCUCUGGGCCAUAACUGACGCUGAGAAGCGAAAGCAUGGGGAGCGAACAGG